Molecule: ribosomal RNA, 305 nt
Filed under: uncultured bacterium
Lineage: Bacteria
Description: partial 16S ribosomal RNA
Rfam family: Bacterial small subunit ribosomal RNA
Source: RNAcentral
ACAGCAGUAGCCGCGGUAAUACGUAGGGUGCAAGCGUUAAUCGGAAUUACUGGGCGUAAAGCGUGCGCAGGCGGUUUGUUAAGACAGAUGUGAAAUCCCCGGGCUUAACCUGGGAACUGCAUUUGUGACUGGCAAGCUAGAGUCUGGCAGAGGGGGGUGGAAUUCCGCGUGUAGCAGUGAAAUGCGUAGAUAUGCGGAGGAACACCGAUGGCGAAGGCAGCCCCCUGGGCCAACACUGACGCUCAUGCACGAAAGCGUGGGGAGCAAACAGGAUUAGAUACCCGGGUAGUCCCUGUCUCUUAUAU